CCUGGCUCAGAUUGAACGCUGGCGGCAUGCCUUACACAUGCAAGUCGAACGGCAGCGGACCUUCGGGUGCCGGCGAGUGGCGAACGGGUGAGUAAUAUAUCGGAACGUACCUUUCAGUGGGGGAUAACGUAGCGAAAGUUACGCUAAUACCGCAUAUUCUGUGAGCAGGAAAGCAGGGGAUCGCAAGACCUUGCGCUGAUUGAGCGGCCGAUAUCAGAUUAGCUAGUUGGUGAGGUAAAGGCUCACCAAGGCGACGAUCUGUAGCGGGUCUGAGAGGAUGAUCCGCCACACUGGAACUGAGACACGGUCCAGACUCCUACGGGAGGCAGCAGUGGGGAAUUUUGGACAAUGGGCGCAAGCCUGAUCCAGCCAUGCCGCGUGAGUGAAGAAGACCUUCGGGUUGUAAAGCUCUUUCGGCCGGGAAGAAAUCGCACAGGUUAAUACCCUGUGUGGAUGACGGUACCGGAAUAAGAAGUACCGGCUAACUACGUG
RNAcentral lists this ribosomal RNA (492 nucleotides) under uncultured bacterium. RNAcentral describes it as "bacterial SSU rRNA". It matches the Rfam family "Bacterial small subunit ribosomal RNA", at positions 18 to 507 of the family's 1533-position model. The record is from RNAcentral.